Pogoniulus pusillus (Red-fronted tinkerbird) is the source of this 779-nucleotide long non-coding RNA. RefSeq lists it as uncharacterized. Lineage: Eukaryota; Metazoa; Chordata; Aves; Piciformes; Lybiidae. The record is from RefSeq and is a predicted model, not a curated record. The transcript is spliced from 3 exons.
GGCCCAUUGUGGGCCAAGGGAUCCUCUGCCUGGCAUCCCUGGGUAUUUUGGCUUUUGCCUCAGGCUCUGAGAUGACUGCAAAAACAGUGGUGGAGAAGAGCUCUUCAGGCAGAGAGAGGUACUAGAAGGCUGCUAUAAGGCCUCCCCAGAGCCUUCUCCAGACUGAACAGCCCCAAUUCUUGCAGCCUGUCCCUACAGCAGAGGUGCCCUAGCUUUCUCAUCAUCUUCUGUUUCUGUUGUGGUAGAUGCUUUUAUUUCAGCACUGUCUUUGGUAUUUGUCAAAUAUAUUUUUGGGUUUACAUGUGGCUUUUUUUUUUCUUCCCUAUGUGAAGGCUGUACCACCAGUAUGUCUUGAUAUGUGUGGUACAGUAUGUUAGCAAGAAUCUGGUGGCAUUCCAUCUCCAGUUUCCAGUGUAGUGGGAAAAUAAUGUACAUUCAAAACAUUAAAAAGGGGUGUGCAAAAGAUAUGUUGCCCUGGCAAUAGUUAUAACUACUGCAAUUAGGAAUAUCAUUCAGAUACAUAAUAAGAUACUAAUAUCCAAAUUCAUUAAGUGUUGUGCUGAAGUCAGAUGUGUCAGAUUUUGGUUACAGAGAUACUUUAACCAUGAGCAUUAAGUAGUGAAUGGAGGGGUAUUAGCAUAGAAUCUCAAACCCUUUUUCGUGGAACUUUAAGACACAAAAUGAAAGUAAACCCAGUAUUUUUGUCUACCACAAUUUGGGCAUGCCAGGGUUUCAAGAUUAUAAAAAAACUGGAAUAAAUGAAGAUUCUUUUGGCCAUA